This is a non-coding RNA of Podarcis lilfordi (Lilford's wall lizard), 94 nucleotides long. The record is from the annotation of a GenBank genome assembly. Lineage: Eukaryota; Metazoa; Chordata; Lepidosauria; Squamata; Lacertidae.
CACCAGAUGUUUUGGGACUACAACUCCCAUCAUCCCUGACCACUGGUCCUGUUAGCUAGGGAUGAUGGGAGUUGUAGUCCCAAAACAUCUGGAG